UUGGGAAUAUUUCACAAUUGGCGCAAGCCUUAUGCAGCAACGCCGCGUGAACGAUGAAGGUCUUCGGAUCGUAAAGUUCUGUUUCAGGGGAAGAUAAUGACGGUACCCUGUGAGGAAGCCCCGGCUAACUACGUGCCAGCAGCCGCGGUAAUACGUAGGGGGCUAGCGUUAUCCGGAUUUACUGGGCGUAAAGGGUGCGUAGGUGGUCUUUCAAGUCGGUGGUUAAAGGCUACGGCUCAACCGUAGUUAGCCUCCGAAACUGGAAGACUUGAGUGCAGGAGAGGAAAGUGGAAUUCCCAGUGUAGCGGUGAAAUGCGUAGAUAUUGGGAGGAACACCAGUAGCGAAGGCGGCUUUCUGGACUGCAACUGACACUGAGGCACGAAAGCGUGGGUAGCAAACAGG
RNAcentral lists this ribosomal RNA (403 nucleotides) under Verrucomicrobiota bacterium. Its description in RNAcentral is "Verrucomicrobia bacterium partial 16S ribosomal RNA". It matches the Rfam family "Bacterial small subunit ribosomal RNA", at positions 355 to 776 of the family's 1533-position model. Lineage: Bacteria; Pseudomonadati; Verrucomicrobiota. The record is from RNAcentral.